Non-coding RNA from Meleagris gallopavo (turkey), 450 nucleotides. NCBI's taxonomy places the organism in Eukaryota, Metazoa, Chordata, Aves, Galliformes, Phasianidae. The record is from RefSeq and is a predicted model, not a curated record.
CAGUAAUCCUCUGAAAAAUCUUUCUUCAGCUCUGAUGAAGCCUUCUGCAAAGUCAAUUUAAAUUACCGCACAGAUAAUGGGCUCUCUCUUCUCCACUUAUGCUGCAUAUGUGAGGGUAACAAAUCACAUAUAAGAACUCUUAUGCUAAAAGGACUGCGCCCAUCCAGGUUAACAAGAAAUGGAUUUACUGCUCUGCACUUGGCAGCUUACAAGGACAACGCAGAACUCAUAACGGCACUGCUGCAUGGCGGAGCUGACGUUCAGCAGGUUGGGUACGGAGCUCUGACAGCCCUUCACAUUGCCACCAUAGCUGGGCAUCACCAGGCUGUUGAUAUUCUUUUGCAGCAUGGAGCUUAUGUGAAUGUUCAGGAUGCGGUUUUCUUCACCCCGUUGCACAUUGCUGCAUAUUAUGGCCAUGAACAGGUAACAGGGGGGGAGAUUUCAGAAAGG